Molecule: unclassified non-coding RNA, 347 nt
Filed under: soil metagenome
Description: partial contains 5.8S ribosomal RNA, internal transcribed spacer 2, and large subunit ribosomal RNA
Rfam family: 5.8S ribosomal RNA (bases 1-120)
Source: RNAcentral
GAUGAAGAACGUAGUGAAAUGCGAUAAUUAAUGUGAAUUGCAGAAUUCAGAGAAUCAUCGAGUCUUUGAACGCACAUUGCGCCCCCUGGUAUUCCGGGGGGCAUGCCUGUCCGAGCGUCAUUGCUGCCCUCAAGCACGGCUUGUGUGUUGGGCUUCCGUCCCUGGCAACGGGGACGGGCCCAAAAGGCAGUGGCGGCACCAUGUCUGGUCCUCGAGCGUAUGGGGCUUUGUCACCCGCUCCCGUAGGUCCAGCUGGCAGCUAGCCUCGCAACCAAUCUUUUUAACCAGGUUGACCUCGGAUCAGGUAGGGAUACCCGCUGAACUUAAGCAUAUCAAUAAGCGGAGGA